ACGGGGAGCAGCAGGCGCGAAACCUUUACACUGCACGACAGUGCGAUAAGGGAAUCCCAAGUGCGCAGGCAUAGAGCCUGCGCUUUUGUACACCGUAGGGAGGUGUACGAAUAAGGGCUGGGCAAGACCGGUGCCAGCCGCCGCGGUAAUACCGGCAGCCCGAGUGAUGGCCGAUCUUAUUGGGCCUAAAGCGUCCGUAGCUGGCCGCACAAGUCCAUCGGAAAAUCCACCCGCUCAACGGGUGGGCGUCCGGUGGAAACUGUGCGGCUUGGGACCGGAGGGCGCGACGGGUACGUCCGGGGUAGGAGUGAAAUCCCGUAAUCCUGGACGGACCGCCGAUGGCGAAAGCACGUCGCGAGGACGGAUUCGACAGUGAGGGACGAAAGCCAGGGUCUCGAACCGGAUUAGAUACCCGGGUAGUCCUGGCCGUAAACAAUGUCUGUUAGGUGUGGCUCCCACUACGAGUGGGUGCUGUGCCGUAGGGAAGCCGCUAAACAGACCGCCUGGGAAGUACGUCCGCAAGGAUGAAACUCAAAUGAAUUGACGG
Molecule: ribosomal RNA, 547 nt
Filed under: uncultured archaeon
Lineage: Archaea
Description: bacterial SSU rRNA
Rfam family: Archaeal small subunit ribosomal RNA
Source: RNAcentral